GGACAACGUAGGAUGUUUUUGUGCGCUGAUCAACACCUGCCAAUGGGCGAGUAGCGGCCUCUGGCACACCGGCCGGGCAUCGAUUCUUAAGCGACCGGUUCCUCCCCUCGUGGCAGUCUGGGCUCGAUCUCGGCCGAGUUCGGAAUGAAGGCUGCUCACACUGAGAUGUUUCAGAGGCGACAGGGGCGAGGGGCACUUGCCAGUGCCUGCCCCUGGUAAGAAGCUACGGCUCUGUACCAGGGGCAGGUACCCAACCUACCGUCCCCGGACUGACAUAUGGCAAC
This is a long non-coding RNA of Penaeus vannamei (Pacific white shrimp), 284 nucleotides long. RefSeq lists it as uncharacterized. Lineage: Eukaryota; Metazoa; Arthropoda; Malacostraca; Decapoda; Penaeidae. The record is from RefSeq and is a predicted model, not a curated record.